AUACGGAGGAUCCGAGCGUUAUCCGGAUUUAUUGGGUUUAAAGGGUGCGCAGGCGGCCAUUUAAGUCAGCGGUUAAAUCGUGGGGCUCAACCCCAUUCUGCCGUUGAUACUGGGUGGCUUGAUUGCGGUCGAGGUUGGCGGAAUUCGUUGUGUAGCGGUGAAAUGCAUAGAUAUGACGAAGAACACCGAUUGCGUAGGCAGCUGACCAGACCGCAAAUGACGCUCAUGCACGAAAGUGCGGGGAUCGAACAGGAUUAGAUACCCUGGUAGUCCGCACAGUAAACGAUGAAUACUUGUUUUCGGCGAUAUAAUGUCGGAGGCAAAGCGAAAGCGAUAAGCCAUCCACCUGGGGAGUACGACCGCAAGGUUGAAACUCAAAUGAAUUGACGGGG
RNAcentral lists this ribosomal RNA (392 nucleotides) under uncultured bacterium. RNAcentral's name for it is "partial 16S ribosomal RNA". It matches the Rfam family "Bacterial small subunit ribosomal RNA", at positions 523 to 918 of the family's 1533-position model. The record is from RNAcentral.